GAUGAAGAACGCAGCGAAAUGCGAUAUGUAAUGUGAAUUGCAGAAUUCAGUGAAUCAUCGAAUCUUUGAACGCACAUGGCGCCUUCCAGUAUCCUGGGAGGCAUGCCUGUCCGAGCGUCGUUUCAACCCUCGAGCCCCCGUGGCCCGGCGUUGGGGAUCUGCCACGGCAGGCCCCUAAAACCAGUGGCGGACCCGAAGGCCAUCUCCUUUGCGCAGUAGCAUCAGCCUCGCAUUGGGAUCCCUCGGCGUCCUGCCUCUAAACCCCCCACAAGUCCGCUCCGGCGGCACCAAGGUUGACCUCGGAUCAGGUAGGAAUACCCGCUGAACUUAAGCAUAUCAAUAAGCGGAGGA
Molecule: unclassified non-coding RNA, 351 nt
Filed under: soil metagenome
Description: partial contains 5.8S ribosomal RNA, internal transcribed spacer 2, and large subunit ribosomal RNA
Rfam family: 5.8S ribosomal RNA (bases 1-120)
Source: RNAcentral